AUUGCAUCAGUACUGCAAUAAAUUCUGCAGUCAAACUUUGUUCAUUAUGCAAUUCAACAUUUUAGUGGAUGUGUGAGCAACAAAAGUUCAACACUCACCUUUUGUCACUAUUUCUGGAAAGUCUACGCAUACAAUUUGACGCAAACGUUGGAUAACUCCAAUGUAUAUACACCACAGAGAAACCACUACAACUGUAUGGCGUCAAAUCCGAUUAAAAAAAGUCGAACGGGCGCCAUCGCGCGAGAAAGCAAGAUGAAACAUCAUUGCGCAGUCAAACACUUUUACCGAGAGAAAAUGUGGUCGAGCGAGCAUAGGACGUUUUCCGAGAGCGCAGGCCAACGUGGUGUGCGCAAAUUAAACUUGAGGACUUGCAAGUGUGACUUUGAGCGAGCGCAACUGCAUUAAAUGAAUUUGACAGCAGAGACUUUUGUUUGCCUGAAGAAAUACUUACUACAUGUCAAGACUCAGAAAUGACUGCACUGUCACAAAUAUGCCGCUUCCACACACGGAUGUAUUUUCAUCCCACUCACACCAAUUUUCCAGUCUGUUCUCCAAAACCCAUUUUGCUCUCGCAACCGCUUACUAUAAUUUUAGAACAGGGGGACAUUUUGACCAUACAGAUGAAAGAGGACGGUGAAAGAUGAACGAUGACUGACAAUAAUAAAGAGGUCUACUGUCACAAGUAUGUGGUGGUGAAGUUGUUCUCUGCCCAGCUGACAGAGACAGGAGAUACAGAGACAGGAGUCCAUUCUAUUACAAGUAGGUCACCUUGGCUCUCCUCUAUGCACAGCACUCCAGGGACUUCCUGCAGAUUGUCCAGUCUGCUGAGAGGGUCAUUGGCUGCCACCUGCCCUCCAUUAAGGUUCCUGCACGACUCCAGGGUAAGGAAGCGUGCAGGAAAGAUCAUCGCCAACCCCUUCCACCCUUUCUUCCAAAGACUCCCAUCUGGCAAACGGUUCAAGUCAAUCACGAUCGAAACUUCCCGCCACCUGAACCGUUUCUUCCCCCGUGCUAUGGCCCUCACCAACCGGCCACCUGGUCCACAAUGAUCCUCUCAUCCAUGGACUCUGCGUUAUUCAUCCAGACUAUGCACCGUGCGCUAUCAUCUUACAUUCAUCAUUUAUAAUGUAGCUUAUAGUGUUCAUACUGAAUGUGGAUCUAUGGAAAUUCUGCAUAUAUAUUUUUGGGCUGUUUAUUAUGGCAGCACCAUUUCACAGAGUCAAAUUCCUGUACAUGCACAUUUCUGGC
This 1248-nucleotide long non-coding RNA is filed under the name Salmo salar (Atlantic salmon). Its description in RNAcentral is "lncRNA (ENSSSAG00000113669.1)". Lineage: Eukaryota; Metazoa; Chordata; Actinopteri; Salmoniformes; Salmonidae. The record is from RNAcentral.